AUUUCUGAUCUGUGUAAGUAACAGACACUUCACUUCAGCAUCCAAGGAUCCACUUCAAUUUAAGAAGUUCCUAGUCUAUCUAUUUGACAGAGCAAUUGGCAGUUCUUUCAAGGAGGGAAGAGAAAUAGGAAAUGAGAAGAUAAUUGCAGCUGUGGAUUUAAAAAGUUUCCCUUAUAAGAGUAUUGACGCUCGUGGUUUCUCCAUCACCUUCAACCUUCUGAAGGCUUAUUAUCCCGGAAGACUAGGAAAAUGUAUAUGUUAAAUGCUCCGGGGUUCUUUGUUAGUUUCUGGAAGAUGUUUUCUGUCUUUCUAGAUAAAGAUAUCCAAGAAAACAUCAUCUUUGUGAGCAAUGAGAAAGAGAAGGAGAGUUUUAUAAAGGAAAUUGGUGAGGAGAUACUACCAGAAGAAAAUGGUGGUCGAUCAAAGCUCGUCGCUGUUCAAGAUGUCACUAUUCAUUCCCAUACCAACAAUCCCAUGAGUUAAAUACUAAUGUAUCUUAACAGUCUAUACGAGCUUCAAUGUUCACUAUUACUAUCAGAUAACCUAAUCGUGUGGUUGUCAAUCAAGGGAAUCCUUGAUAUGCAUGCAUAUGUAAUACUACAAUUUUUUUCCUUUAUGCAUCAAACGAAGAAUAAAAUGCAAAAAAAUUGUUGAUCUGUACUUAACUCAUUUCACGGUAGGAAACAUGAUCAAUUUUAUCCAAGUACC
RNA transcript from Papaver somniferum (opium poppy), 708 nucleotides. It is a transcript of the gene named SEC14 cytosolic factor-like, with no coding region annotated. The transcript is spliced from 5 exons. The record is from RefSeq and is a predicted model, not a curated record. Lineage: Eukaryota; Viridiplantae; Streptophyta; Magnoliopsida; Ranunculales; Papaveraceae.